RNAcentral lists this ribosomal RNA (3033 nucleotides) under Salmonella enterica subsp. enterica serovar Typhimurium. Lineage: Bacteria; Pseudomonadati; Pseudomonadota; Gammaproteobacteria; Enterobacterales; Enterobacteriaceae. The record is from RNAcentral.
ACUAAGCGUACACGGUGGAUGCCCUGGCAGUCAGAGGCGAUGAAGGGCGUGCUAAUCUGCGAUAAGCGCCGGUAAGGUGAUAUGAACCGUUAUAACCGGCGAUACCCGAAUGGGGAAACCCAGUGUGAUUCGUCACACUAUCAUUAACUGAAUCCAUAGGUUAAUGAGGCGAACCGGGGGAACUGAAACAUCUAAGUACCCCGAGGAAAAGAAAUCAACCGAGAUUCCCCCAGUAGCGGCGAGCGAACGGGGAGGAGCCCAGAGCCUGAAUCAGCAUGUGUGUUAGUGGAAGCGUCUGGAAAGGCGCGCGAUACAGGGUGACAGCCCCGUACACAAAAGCGCAUGUGCUGUGAGCUCGAUGAGUAGGGCGGGACACGUGGUAUCCUGUCUGAAUAUGGGGGGACCAUCCUCCAAGGCUAAAUACUCCUGACUGACCGAUAGUGAACCAGUACCGUGAGGGAAAGGCGAAAAGAACCCCGGCGAGGGGAGUGAAAAAGAACCUGAAACCGUGUACGUACAAGCAGUGGGAGCCCCACCACUAAGCCAGUGGUGAACUCCACAUCCGCAUCCUUUGCUGAGGAUACGGGUUAACGGAGCGAAAGCGACGUUCAACCGCAAAACAAGCAGAGGGGGCUUAGUGGUGGGGUGACUGCGUACCUUUUGUAUAAUGGGUCAGCGACUUAUAUUCUGUAGCAAGGUUAACCGAAUAGGGGAGCCGGAGGGAAACCGAGUCUUAAUUGGGCGUUAAGUUGCAGGGUAUAGACCCGAAACCCGGUGAUCUAGCCAUGGGCAGGUUGAAGGUUGGGUAACACUAACUGGAGGACCGAACCGACUAAUGUUGAAAAAUUAGCGGAUGACCUGUGGCUGGGGGUGAAAGGCCAAUCAAACCGGGAGAUAGCUGGUUCUCCCCGAAAGCUAUUUAGGUAGCGCCUCGUGAAUUCAUCUCCGGGGGUAGAGCACUGUUUCGGCUAGGGGGCCAUCCCGGCUUACCAACCCGAUGCAAACUGCGAAUACCGGAGAAUGUUAUCACGGGAGACACACGGCGGGUGCUAACGUCCGUCGUGAAGAGGGAAACAACCCAGACCGCCAGCUAAGGUCCCAAAGUCAUGGUUAAGUGGGAAACGAUGUGGGAAGGCCCAGACAGCCAGGAUGUUGGCUUAGAAGCAGCCAUCAUUUAAAGAAAGCGUAAUAGCUCACUGGUCGAGUCGGCCUGCGCGGAAGAUGUAACGGGGCUAAACCAUGCACCGAAGCUGCGGCAGCGAACGUAUCACUUAAAGCGAUUCAGCGGGUUACGAUUGACGGAGCGAAGCGACGUCAAAGCGUAUACAAAGUCGAGUCGGUUUAAGGAUACGUUCGUUGGGUAGGGGAGCGUUCUGUAAGCCCGUGAAGGUGGCCUGUGAGGGUUGCUGGAGGUAUCAGAAGUGCGAAUGCUGACAUAAGUAACGAUAAAGCGGGUGAAAAGCCCGCUCGCCGGAAGACCAAGGGUUCCUGUCCAACGUUAAUCGGGGCAGGGUGAGUCGACCCCUAAGGCGAGGCCGAAAGGCGUAGUCGAUGGGAAACGGGUUAAUAUUCCCGUACUUGGUGUUACUGCGAAGGGGGGACGGAGAAGGCUAUGUUGGCCGGGCGACGGUUGUCCCGGUUUAAGCGUGUAGGUGUGUGUUCCAGGUAAAUCCGGUUCACUUUAACACUGAGGCGUGACGACGAGGCACUACGGUGCUGAAGCAACAAAUGCCCUGCUUCCAGGAAAAGCCUCUAAGCAUCAGGUAACACGAAAUCGUACCCCAAACCGACACAGGUGGUCAGGUAGAGAAUACCAAGGCGCUUGAGAGAACUCGGGUGAAGGAACUAGGCAAAAUGGUGCCGUAACUUCGGGAGAAGGCACGCUGACACGUAGGUGAAGUGAUUUACUCAUGGAGCUGAAGUCAGUCGAAGAUACCAGCUGGCUGCAACUGUUUAUUAAAAACACAGCACUGUGCAAACACGAAAGUGGACGUAUACGGUGUGACGCCUGCCCGGUGCCGGAAGGUUAAUUGAUGGGGUCAGCGCAAGCGAAGCUCCUGAUCGAAGCCCCGGUAAACGGCGGCCGUAACUAUAACGGUCCUAAGGUAGCGAAAUUCCUUGUCGGGUAAGUUCCGACCUGCACGAAUGGCGUAAUGAUGGCCAGGCUGUCUCCACCCGAGACUCAGUGAAAUUGAACUCGCUGUGAAGAUGCAGUGUACCCGCGGCAAGACGGAAAGACCCCGUGAACCUUUACUAUAGCUUGACACUGAACAUUGAGCCUUGAUGUGUAGGAUAGGUGGGAGGCUUUGAAGUGUGGACGCCAGUCUGCAUGGAGCCGACCUUGAAAUACCACCCUUUAAUGUUUGAUGUUCUAACGUGGACCCGUAAUCCGGGUUGCGGACAGUGUCUGGUGGGUAGUUUGACUGGGGCGGUCUCCUCCUAAAGAGUAACGGAGGAGCACGAAGGUUGGCUAAUCCUGGUCGGACAUCAGGAGGUUAGUGCAAUGGCAUAAGCCAGCUUGACUGCGAGCGUGACGGCGCGAGCAGGUGCGAAAGCAGGUCAUAGUGAUCCGGUGGUUCUGAAUGGAAGGGCCAUCGCUCAACGGAUAAAAGGUACUCCGGGGAUAACAGGCUGAUACCGCCCAAGAGUUCAUAUCGACGGCGGUGUUUGGCACCUCGAUGUCGGCUCAUCACAUCCUGGGGCUGAAGUAGGUCCCAAGGGUAUGGCUGUUCGCCAUUUAAAGUGGUACGCGAGCUGGGUUUAGAACGUCGUGAGACAGUUCGGUCCCUAUCUGCCGUGGGCGCUGGAGAACUGAGGGGGGCUGCUCCUAGUUUACGAGCGCAGGCAACGCCGCUGAUGCGAUAAAGAAUUGCGUACAGAACGUAAAAACGGUCUGAUAACAGAAUUUGCCUGGCGGCACUAGCGCGGUGGUCCCACCUGACCCCAUGCCGAACUCAGAAGUGAAACGCCGUAGCGCCGAUGGUAGUGUGGGGUCUCCCCAUGCGAGAGUAGGGAACUGCCAGGCAUCAAAUU